RNAcentral lists this long non-coding RNA (714 nucleotides) under Olea europaea subsp. europaea. The record is from RNAcentral. Lineage: Eukaryota; Viridiplantae; Streptophyta; Magnoliopsida; Lamiales; Oleaceae.
UCUAGUUCAGGUAAUUAUUACGUGGGGUAGGGUUCAACUACCAUAAAUUGUAGUUAAGAGAUAGAUAGUAUUAAAUGAAAAUGUAACUUCCACAAAUGAGGAGCAAGUGGAUAAAUCUGAACAACUAGCAAAAAUAGUUACAGAUUAGAAGUCGGAUAAUCUACAGGUUAGGCAACAGUUACUAUCAAGACUUAUGUUCUUCAUGUCCCAUUUCCCAAGAGAUUGCAAAAAAAGAAGGUCGACGAACAAUUUGAGAAGCUUUUGGAUGAGCUAAAGAAACUCUACAUCAACAUAUCGUAAAGGAAAUAAUGAAGUCACCGCAAAUGGAUAAUGAAAGCAUCAAAUAUCCAAGAGACAAAGUCGAUGAUGUACUAAUUAAAGCUGGAAAAUUGGUAUUCUAGAUGGGUUUCCUUGUUCUUGACAUAGAUGAAGAUCAAAAUAUUCGAAAAAUCUUGAGUCGACCUUCCUAGCAACAGGUCAAAAUUGAUUGACAUGGAGAAAGGUGAGUUGGCCUUGAGGUUGAAGGAUGAAUAAGAAUUCUUUAAAUUACACAAUCUAUCCAAACGACCGUCGGACCUUGAGGUGUGAAACUAUAUUGAUGAAGACAAUCCACGAAGUAUUCAAAAGAGAAAACCUAAAGUUGGUGGAAUUCCUGUUUUAAUUCACGGAUUUUUCAUAGAUGUCGCUAAAUUUGAAAAUCUACCAAAAUUGUCA